Homo sapiens (human) is the source of this 3070-nucleotide RNA transcript. It is a transcript of the gene named carboxypeptidase A5, with no coding region annotated. NCBI's taxonomy places the organism in Eukaryota, Metazoa, Chordata, Mammalia, Primates, Hominidae. The transcript has 16 exons. The record is from RefSeq and is marked validated.
AACUGCUUCUCUCUCUCUCUUUUACUCUUAUUCUUUCUCUCUCACUCUCUCUCUUUUCCCACCCUUAAGCCAAGUACAGGGAUAGUUGUCUCAUCAUUGGUGGCUUAAAAUGAUGUUUUUGAACAAGAAGACGCCCCAUGGGUACUUUUGGUGACUAGCACUAUCUCUGUUUUUUUCCUUUUAAAUUCCUGAGCUAUUGUUUAGCAGUACACCCUUUUAUCUCCAUUGCUACUGAAGCUGAAUGUUACUUGGGUGGAAAGCAUAACUGCUUUCUUUUCUAUGUCCUUAAACCCUUUGAUAAUGUUACUGUUUGAGAGUCCCUGAAGCCAGGAUACUAGAAGAGUCUGGCUUGUCUGAACAGCUGAACUACGAAAUAAUGGAGUAGGGCAGGCUUUACCAAGCCAAUUCACUCAAGUUGUCUCAUCUAUACCCCUUCAAACCCUGUGAGGCUGGGCUUUCCAGCCUCUAGGUGCUGUGCUGUCCUGAGGCCUGGGCCAUGGUGCCCAAGGAAAGCCCCUGAAGCUCACCAGGAGGAAGAAGCAUGCAGGGCACCCCUGGAGGCGGGACGCGCCCUGGGCCAUCCCCCGUGGACAGGCGGACACUCCUGGUCUUCAGCUUUAUCCUGGCAGCAGCUUUGGGCCAAAUGAAUUUCACAGGGGACCAGGUUCUUCGAGUCCUGGCCAAAGAUGAGAAGCAGCUUUCACUUCUCGGGGAUCUGGAGGGCCUGAAACCCCAGAAGGUGGACUUCUGGCGUGGCCCAGCCAGGCCCAGCCUCCCUGUGGAUAUGAGAGUUCCUUUCUCUGAACUGAAAGACAUCAAAGCUUAUCUGGAGUCUCAUGGACUUGCUUACAGCAUCAUGAUAAAGGACAUCCAGGUGCUGCUGGAUGAGGAAAGACAGGCCAUGGCGAAAUCCCGCCGGCUGGAGCGCAGCACCAACAGCUUCAGUUACUCAUCAUACCACACCCUGGAGGAGAUAUAUAGCUGGAUUGACAACUUUGUAAUGGAGCAUUCCGAUAUUGUCUCAAAAAUUCAGAUUGGCAACAGCUUUGAAAACCAGUCCAUUCUUGUCCUGAAGUUCAGCACUGGAGGUUCUCGGCACCCAGCCAUCUGGAUUGACACUGGAAUUCACUCCCGGGAGUGGAUCACCCAUGCCACCGGCAUCUGGACUGCCAAUAAGAUUGUCAGUGAUUAUGGCAAAGACCGUGUCCUGACAGACAUACUGAAUGCCAUGGACAUCUUCAUAGAGCUCGUCACAAACCCUGAUGGGUUUGCUUUUACCCACAGCAUGAACCGCUUAUGGCGGAAGAACAAGUCCAUCAGACCUGGAAUCUUCUGCAUCGGCGUGGAUCUCAACAGGAACUGGAAGUCGGGUUUUGGAGGAAAUGGUUCUAACAGCAACCCCUGCUCAGAAACUUAUCACGGGCCCUCCCCUCAGUCGGAGCCGGAGGUGGCUGCCAUAGUGAACUUCAUCACAGCCCAUGGCAACUUCAAGGCUCUGAUCUCCAUCCACAGCUACUCUCAGAUGCUUAUGUACCCUUACGGCCGAUUGCUGGAGCCCGUUUCAAAUCAGAGGGAGUUGUACGAUCUUGCCAAGGAUGCGGUGGAGGCCUUGUAUAAGGUCCAUGGGAUCGAGUACAUUUUUGGCAGCAUCAGCACCACCCUCUAUGUGGCCAGUGGGAUCACCGUCGACUGGGCCUAUGACAGUGGCAUCAAGUACGCCUUCAGCUUUGAGCUCCGGGACACUGGGCAGUAUGGCUUCCUGCUGCCGGCCACACAGAUCAUCCCCACGGCCCAGGAGACGUGGAUGGCGCUUCGGACCAUCAUGGAGCACACCCUGAAUCACCCCUACUAGCAGCACGACUGAGGGCAGGAGGCUCCAUCCUUCUCCCCAAGCCGGUGGCCCAUCUGCAGCAGAAUCCGUGGAGACUUGUUUAACAGGAAGGGAUUUGGUUCCAUCUCCAGACCGAAUUAGAAUAUCUGGGGGCAGACACCCCAAAUCUGCAUUUUUACCAACUGCCCAAGGAGUUCUGAGAUGGCUGCUCUACCUCCCUUGUGACGAAAUUCCAGGCAGGAAGAGCAAGGGGCAAACAAGUGAGCCAGCUGAGGUGGCGGGUCCAGAGACUUCGCCUUACACUAUAUUUGUUGAAACUGUGUCAUGCGGCCAUGCCUAGCUGUAAGGAAAACAAGAAGGCCCAGGCAGCCGGUCAGCACAGGCUGGGAGAGAAUGCAGCGAACAUGGGGCCUGUCGGAACUUCCCAGACGUGGUGGGAACCACACCAGCACAGAGUCAACAGCAGGCAGGGGAAGGCCUGCGGGGCCCCAGGGCCAGAGGCUAGGACGGGCAAGCCAGACCGGAUUUGGGAAACGUGUUAUCAUUUCCAAGGACUAUCCCAAGUACGUGGGGUAGGAGAACCUUGGAGGCCAAACAGGCUGCCUGGAUUUGUCCUUCCGGACGCCGCCCCCACCCCGCCGCCCAUUAUUUAUUGCUGUCACUUUGUUGACGUUCCAGAGCCAGGCCUGGCUGCUGCGGCUCCCAGACCCGGUCCCAGGCAUGUUGGGACACGGGCCGGCUGUGCUCUGUGGAAUGUUCCCAGGCAGCAGGUCCACUUCCUGGGCUGCAGCCCUGGGUUCUGCUGAUACCCCUUCUGUAGCAGACUUCUCCUGCCCUGUCCUCCAGCAUGGCCUGCCGGCGUGGGACAGGCCUGCCCCACAUCUCAAACUCGGGGGGCAAAAAAUGUCCUUCUGUGGAGGGGGCCCCUGAAGGAGAACUCCAGCCUGCUUGGUUGACUGAGGUUCUUCUUCCCUGAGCUUCUAGGAUGUCCUUAGAGUGGGAAUCCAUUCCCUCUGGUCGUCCCUUACCAGGCUCUUGCUCUGGGGCCUGCAGUUCACCUCUUGCUCUCUUCUAACCAGCUCUGCCAAGCUCUGCGGCUCUCCCUCCACCUUCCUGCCCUGUCAGCCCACCUCUCUCAAUUCCCCAAAGCAUGGCUAGACCAUGGGGUAACAGUUCCCACAACUUUACUUGGGAUAUGGAAGGAACAUACAAUAUAGAAAAUAAAACAUGGAAGCUGGA